GUAGGUGGCAAGCGUUGCUCGGAAUUAUUGGGCGUAAAGCGCGCGCAGGCGGUUCUUUAAGUCUGAUGUGAAAGCCCACGGCUCAACCGUGGAGGGUCAUUGGAAACUGGAGAACUUGAGUACAGAAGAGGAAAGCGGAAUUCCACGUGUAGCGGUGAAAUGCGUAGAGAUGUGGAGGAACACCAGUGGCGAAGGCGGCUUUCUGGUCUGUAACUGACGCUGAGGCGCGAAAGCGUGGGGGAGCAAACAGGAUUAGAUACCCUGGUAGUCCACGCCGUAAACGAUGAGUGCUAAGUGUUAGGGGGUUUCCGCCCCUUAGUGCUGCAGCUAACGCAUUAAGCACUCCGCCUGGGAGUACGGCCGCAAGGCUG
RNAcentral lists this ribosomal RNA (371 nucleotides) under uncultured organism. RNAcentral's name for it is "partial 16S ribosomal RNA". It matches the Rfam family "Bacterial small subunit ribosomal RNA", at positions 527 to 896 of the family's 1533-position model. The record is from RNAcentral.